This 108-nucleotide small nuclear RNA is filed under the name Peromyscus maniculatus bairdii (prairie deer mouse). The record is from RNAcentral. Lineage: Eukaryota; Metazoa; Chordata; Mammalia; Rodentia; Cricetidae.
GUGCUCGCUUCGGUAGCACAUAUACUAAAAUUGGAACGAUGCAGAGAAGAUUAGCAUGGCCCCCCGAGCAAGGAUGACACACAAAUUUGUGAAGCGCUCCAUUUUUUA